CGUGCGUGCGUGCGUGCGUGUUGCUGCUCUUUAAUUAUUUGUUACUUUUAUUUCAUUUUUUUUACUUCUCUAUUUUUUUUUUACUUAACACUUCUUUUUCUUAAAACUGCAUUGUUGGUUAAGGGCUUGUAACUAAGCAUUUCACUGUAUGGUCUAAACCUCUUGUAUUCGGCGCAUGUGACAAAUAACAUUUUAUUUGAUUGGAUCUUUCUACAUCACCCUGUCAAUUAUUUUCUCCUGUCAGCUCAUGCUGUCCCAAUCAGUAUUAUUGUAUAUCUCUUUCUUUUCCGUUUCAUCCUCCCCCUCUUCCCUGUCCCUGUCUUAUACCUCCGCCUCCCUCGUUCCCUCCCUCUCUCCCCCGCUUUAUGUUAUACAUCCCUUUCAGCGAAAAAGUGACACGUCAUCGGAUCCGACCUGGGUGCGGGUUCUUUUUUUUCUUGAUGGUAAUCAGUUUGCAAAUCAGUGCAGUGUCAAUAAGAGUGUUGCCAAGUUGUUUGUAUCACUCCGCCUUAAUCUGAGAGACAGUGGAAGCGUUGCGGACUGCCGAACACACCGUUUGGAGUGGAUUUGUGUUCUAAGAGAGGCUCACAAGGCGGAGAAGAGAGAGAUAUUACUUUUUGAAAGUGAAGCAUUCUAUAUAACCCUCAAGUGUUGAAGACGAGGGCUGUGUCCCAAACGGCACCAUAUUCCCUAUAUUUGUAUUUUUUAUUUUUUUAUUUAACUAGGCAAGUCAGUUAAGAACAAAUUCUUAUUUUCAAUGACGGCCUAGGAACAGUGGGUUAACUGCCUUGUUCAGGGGCAGAACGACAGAUUUUUACCUUGUCAGCUCGGGGAUUCAGUAUAGCAACCUUUCGGUUACUGACCCAACGCUCUAACCACUAGGCUACCUGCCGCCCCAGGCCUAUGGACCCUGGUCAACAGUAGUGCAGUACAUAGGGAAUAGGGUGCCAUUUGGGAUGCGGCUGAGGAUGUAACAGAAUAAAAAAGCUCUGCAUCACAAUGUUCCAUACUUUAUGAUUCACGGUUCAUUGAUUAAUUAUUAUGUUAUUAAAGGAGUCGGCCGCAGGGCUGGAAAAGCAUUCAUGUGGUUCCAUGUGCUUUUAAUAUGGACAACAUCCCAAAACUGUCCCUGCAGACUGGGUUUUUAACUCAAAAUUAAAUUAAGUCUUUAGGGCCAGUUUCCCAGACACAUGUUCAGCCUAGUCCUGGACUGAGAAGCACUUUUAAUGGAGAAUUCAACAUGAUUUUUACUCUAGAAUCAGGCUUAAUAUGUGUCUGGGAAACUGGCCCAGUUCAAACUGGAGACUGGCCCAACUUAAGAGAUAUUUGUUCAAUGUUUAAAUAAAUAGUUUUGUUUAUUUACUGUUUCUCUUCUCACUGAGUACACCAAACAUUAGGAACACCUUCCUAAUAUUGAGUUGGACUCCCCCUUUUGCCCUCAGAACAGCCUAAAUUUUUCAGGGCAUGGACUCUACAAGGUGUCGAAAGCAUUCCACAGGGAGGCUGGCCCAUGUUGACUCCAAUGCUUCCCACAGUUGGGCCACACAUUCACAAUCCAUGUCUCAAUUGUCUCAAGGCUUAAAAAUCCUUCGUUAACCUGUCUCCUCCCCUUCAUGUACACAGAAAACCCAGCCAGCUCUAUAUUAUCCAUGUAUUAUCCGUGUCGUCGUUCAGCUACGACUCGGUGAAACAGAAGAUAUUACAGUUAUUAAUGUCCCGUUGGUAGGAUAGUCUCGACCGUAGAUCAUCCUCACGUUGAGUUGGGUAUAUCGCUCCUGUUUUCUACCGUUUGCACACUUUUAUUUUAUAGUCGGCAAGUAAAGGCAAUGAACAUUGAAACGCGAGCAGCCUGUUAAUUACAAACAAAACAGCAAAAGCAACUUUGUAUUGAAGUGGGAUUGCGCAUUUUCCAACUCAUGAUUACAUCUUCGGUCGUCGUGGGAAAGACAUAGCUUUAAAAAGUUGUGUGAGGAGGUAGCAGGGCUGAGGGGGAGUUUGGAGUUUAGCCAGAGUGAAUUCUCCCGCUCCAAGGAGAGAACAAGGCAAUCACAGCUAAAGUAAAAACCCUUGAAUCCAACAUGGAUGGUCUACUCAGGGAAAACAGGGUGAUGAGGGAGUUGCUACUAGACAUACAAAGCCGUAGCAUGCAUGAAAAUGUAAUAUUUUCUGGGGAUUCCUGAGGACGAUUCCAAUAAUCCAGAGGGGGCGAUCAGAGAGUUCAUGCGAUCCGCCUUAAAACUUCCAAGAAUCCCCAACCUAUAAUCGCAAAAUUUGAACACAACCAACAAAAGGAGCUGAUCAAAAGCACGGGAAGGGAGCUUAAAGGGACCAAAUUCGGUCUCAAUGACCAAUUUCCCCAGGAGAUAAACGAACGUCGCAAGAUGCUGUACCCUGUACAGAGGCAACAGGGGGAGCGGAAUAAGCGUGCCUUUCUCAUUGUGGACAAACUUUUUAUAGAUGGACAGCUCCAUAAACCAUGGCUGUACUAAAUUCUACGGGGACGUCAGGUUCCAAAAAAAAAAGUAUGUAAAAAUAUCUGAACAUGAAGUUGAUAUGAACACACACACACUCAAUUACAUGCUCACUUACACAUACAGACUUCUACAUACACACACGAACUUGAUCUCUCUCUCUUCUCUCUCUACUCUCGCUCUCUCUUUCUCUCUUCUCUCCCUCUCUCCCCUCUCUCUCUAUUGUCGAGAACUUUUCUAUAAUUGAAUAUGUUUUUUGUUUAUCUAUCUUUUCUAUGUCUUCGUCUACAUGUUUACCUAUGUUUACAACAAGCAAGGGGAAGAACAGGGACAUUGGGGAAGAAUAACAUAUUGUAUGGGAUACAUUUGUACUGUAGUGAAGCCAUCUCUAUACUAAUGCAAGGUCUCUUUCAAGAUCAUGUGAAACGUCAAUUGCUAUGGAAAUGUUGGGAUGUGUGUGUUUUUCUAUGAAAGUUAUGUUAAAGGUAAUUAUGAUGCAACUAUGGUGGUGAUGCGAUAUGGAUUACAAUUAUCAUCUUGAAUAUUAAGGCUAUUCUCACUUCAUGUUACACACAGACACCCAACCAUGCAAAUUGGCUGGGUUAUUAUUUAUUUGGACAUCACACAUUAUAGUCUUACUCUUAUCCAGACAUCAUACACACUCUGACUAAAACACAUCCAAUAUCAUACAAAUCAACCUACUUAGAUUUACUACACACAUAAUAUCUUGAAUUUUCUAACAUCUGUGGCAUUGGCUCACGGGCACACAGGCAAGGGAAUAAAACAAAUAUUGCUAGAACCUGUUCUAAAUAUCAGACAUUUGAAAUCUCUCAUUUAGACCGUGAUAAUACCUCUUAUGGCAGUAACUUUACAAGAAGUAAUUAUGGUAAAUUUAGACUGAGAAUAGUGUCUAGUUAUGGUAAGGGGUGAAAUAAGUAUAGCCAGAUAUAAUUGUAACAGUUUAGCAGAUUAUAAAAAAGAAGAUCUGUCUUUACGUGGCUAAAAGAAAAGAAAUAUAACAUAUACUGAUUACAGGAAACUAACUCUACAUGCUUAGAUGAAAUUGUGUGGAAAAAGGAAUGGGGUGGUGAAAUAAUUUUCUGCCAUGGACAAAGGAACUCAAAAGGUGUGAUGAUAUUAUGUUGAUCUGAAUGUGCAAAUAGUCAGGAAUGAUUCGCAAGGAAGAUGGAUCUUUUUUAAUAUGAAAGUGGAUGAAAAACAGAUUUGGCUCAUUAACCUGUAUAGUCCAAAUCAGGAUGAUCCAUACUUCUUUGAAAAUAUUUAUUCAAAUUUAUUGAACUUACAGGCAACAAAUGAUCUAAUCAUUAUGGUAGGAGACUAUAACACAGUGUUGAGUACCUCAAUGGACCGUAAAGGAAUUCACUCUACAAACUAUCAUCACAGUGCCCAUAAGGAAAUCACAAAUAUUAUGGACACAUUAGAAAUAGUGGAUAUUUGGAGACUGGAGGUUGGAGGUUUAGGGGGGCUGGUGGGAGAUCUGUCGACAUGCCCUUGAGCAGGGCGUUGACCCUAGUGUGUCGCUCUCGAUGAGAGGCUGUUAAAUGACUAAUGUGAUGUAGCUGUUGAGUGGCUUCACUGCAAGUAUAUUGUAUGUUUUAAAUAUUCAAUACAUUUAAAAAUAUUAAAAUGGGAUCAUAGCUUUCACCUGGAUUCACCUGGUCAAUCUAUGUCAUGGAAGGAGCAGACGUUCUUAAUGUUUUGUACAUUUCAAGCUUGAUGUUACGCUGUGUUUACAUUGUGUCAUAGAAUAUGUACUGCAGUCAGAACAGCCGUCGGUAAAUCGCCUACGACUUUGUUAGUGUGGUAAUGAUAUUCUACGAGCCUUAUUAAAAGACAGCUUAAGGUCAUGAUGGUUUACAAGUGGAGCAGUCAAUACUUUAUCUGUCCCUGUAGUGCUGCCGUGUCUUUCGGAGUGCAUAAAACAGGGAGAGAAUACCCUGUGGGAUCGUGGAAUUCUAGCCCCACCAUAUCUUUUCUGAUUUUCCUCCCAGGUGUUUAAGAGUAUUCCUUGUGGAGUUAGGUUCAUCUCCCAGCCAAGGCUCUUGCUUGGAUAGCUUUCAAUAAAGCCCAGUGAUUGUCUGGAAGACUGGUUAUCCAGGAGUGAAUAGCCUGGUCCUAAAUCUGUUUGUGCUGUCUGGAAUAAUAAUGACCAUAGGAGUUGGCAAGAUAGAACAAACAGAUCUGGGACCAGAGGAGAAUACAGAACAAACAGGCCUGGGACCAGAGAGCAAUACAGCACAAACAGGUCUGGGACCAGGCUACAAGACAGUAGAAACAGGUCUGGGACCUGGCUACAAGACAGCACAAACAGAUCUGGGACUAGAGGACAAUACAGCACAAACAGGCCUGGGACCAGGCAACAAGACAGCAUAAACAGGUCUGGAACCAGGCUACAAGACAGCACAAACACAUCUGGGACUAGAGGACAAUACAGCACAAACAGGCCUGGGACCAGGCAACAAGACAGCAUAAACAGGUCUGGGACCAGGCUACAAGACAGCACAAACACAUCUGUGACCAGGGCAGCACAACCAGGUCUGAGACCAGGCUACUGAACCACUGCAUUGGAAGAUAUGUGUGUUAACAUUUUUGCCUAAAAAUGACUUACCCAAAUCUAACUGCCUGUAGCUCAGGACCUGAAGCAAGGAUAUGCAUAUUCUUGAUACCAUUUGAAAGGAAACACUUUGAAGUUUGUGGAAAUGUGAAAUUAAUGUCGGAGACAUUAACACAUUAGAUCUGGUAAAAGAUAAAAACAAAGACAAAAACAUGCAUAUGUAUAUUUUGAUAUAUAUAUAUAUGUUUUUUUCCCAUCCUCUUUGAAAUGCAAGAGAAAGGUGUCACGAAUCCCGCUUCCUGAGUCUGGGUUUGCCUGUGUGUCUGUCCUGGAGUGUGUUUCAGGUGUCCUGGAACGCACCCUGUCUGGUUGCCGGGCGAAUUAGCUCAUUGGGAGAUUGAUUUCACCCGCACCUGUUUCCCGUCAGUAAUCUGCACACCUGUCCUGAUCAUCAUCUCUACCCUUCAAAAGCUCUGACCUGACUUCCAUUCCCUGCCGGAUCGUUAGCCAUGAACAUUACUCACCUGGAUCAUUCACUCCAUUCCCGCCUGGUUGACAGAGGAUUCUGCUACUACAUUGGAUUCACCUAUUUCCUCUCAUCUACUCACCACCGCUGCCCGCUACGCCAUCUGGAUAUAUCUACCUUUUCACAUUUCACUGUAAAUAAAUACUCACCUUCUUCCUA
Salvelinus fontinalis (brook trout) is the source of this 5731-nucleotide long non-coding RNA. RefSeq lists it as uncharacterized. The record is from RefSeq and is a predicted model, not a curated record. The transcript is spliced from 2 exons. NCBI's taxonomy places the organism in Eukaryota, Metazoa, Chordata, Actinopteri, Salmoniformes, Salmonidae.